Long non-coding RNA from Amaranthus tricolor (Joseph's coat), 3315 nucleotides. RefSeq lists it as uncharacterized. The transcript is spliced from 4 exons. Lineage: Eukaryota; Viridiplantae; Streptophyta; Magnoliopsida; Caryophyllales; Amaranthaceae. The record is from RefSeq and is a predicted model, not a curated record.
GUGAGCUUCUUCUCUUCGACACGUCAACCUGCUUUCCCGCAGAUGCUUCCACGCCUAGCCUCAACUUCUUUCCCCUGCUCCUUCAACUGCUCUCAUCCCAUCAGUUCAUUCAACAUCUUUGCUGUUAUUCAUGUCCUCCUUUCCCUCUUUCUCGGUCUCUUUCUCUUCUUUUGAUCCUUCAUUUGCUUUUCAACUGCUCAUCUCCUUCAUUUGUUGUCAUUCAUUUCUUCUUCGCUGAGUUUCAGGUAAUUGAAAACUUUCACAUCCCUCUCUGCUCUUCCCUCUCUGAUUCAUACUAAUCCUGAAUGCUCUUCGGGAUUUAGGGUUUUCAUUUGGGAUGAAAAAACGGGUUUUCAUUUUUUCCCGAGGCUCAAUCUUAUACUUGCUAACAAGAUUUUCCUUCUUACUCAUCCUGGUGCUCAAGAUAUUGAGAAAGUUCAGCUCAAAGAUGAGGUUUUAUCUUCCAUUAAAUCUGUUUGUAUAAAAUACAAGAACGUAAUGGAAAGUUAGAAACAUUCACUCCCCAACAGAACCACCACCCGGGAAAAGUGAUCAGCAAUUAAAACCAGAAAAAACAGUCACGUGUCAACCAUGUGAUCAUAACUCAACGGUAUUGAACAUAUUACCUCCCGGUCACGCGCCGCCACGGAGUCCUGCGAUAUUGUCGGAGCUACAACGUUCAUCGACGAACAAAACAGUUCUAUUUGUAAAGUUAAGCCUAAUUUAUCUUUUUGAUCAAUUGAUGAUGAUAUUUUAAAUUUAAAAUUAAUUUACAAUUCACAUGGCCAAUAUGAUAGAGACAGUUCUAACUUCUAACGGUAGUCUUCCAUAGAUUCUUAGGUUAGUAAUAGGAUUUGAAAGAUAAUUUAGAUUACCGUGUCUUCUUUGCUUUUAGAUAAUAUGUUGAUGUGCAAUUUAAUUGAUGUUGAUGAUUGAUGUUUGUCUAAUGUUGAUAAUAAUGUCUGUAAUUUGUGGAUUCAGUAAAAGGAAAGAUGUUUUUGAAUUGGUGUUGAUGAUUGGUGUUUGUCUAAUGUUGAUAAUAAUGUUUGUAAUUUGCGAAUUCAGUACAAGGAAAGUUGUUUUUGAAUUCGGAUGAUUUUUUCAAGCUACAGUUAAUAUCGUGAGAAUUCGGAUGAAAAAACGGGUUUUCAUUUUCAAGCUAGAAUAUCCGUUUCACCUCUAAAUGGAGCAAAUGAGAAUCAUCAAAAUGACCUUGCAUUGUCUUUUCGAAUUGACCAAAAUAUUUAAGAAACAGCUAAAUGGAGCCAGUCACAAUGGACUUGCCUCGCAACUCUUUAUGUAUGCAACUCAUUAAGUUAUGUGAAGCUGAUAUUCACAUGUUUUCUGUCUAUUUGGUGACUUUGAUGCUUAUGAAAUAUUUAUGUAUCCAUAAUUACCUUUGCGACAAUCUUCUGCUUCUUAUAUUUGUAAGGAGAUGUGAAUCUUUCAAUAGUGCAGCCGUAGGUAUAUAAGUAUAUGUCUAUAGUGCAAGUAUACAACUAUUUUUAGGAUAAAAUUGCUUUUUUGCAUCUCACUAUUGAACUACAAACUUAUUACAGUUAUGCGAUGCAAAUACGCAAUUUCUUAGUAAAUCCAAACUUCAAGAUGCUAUGGUAUCUCACUAUUUUUUGUUCUAUUAUGCGCCUUCUAUUUGUAGAUUUUUGGUGCUCUUGUGAUCGUUUUCUGAUGUAUUUGUGCAUUGAGCAAAAAUCAGGUUACUUUCUGAAGUAUUUGUUUUUUUUGUAUCUCACAGGUGGCGUGGUGUUAAACUGUUUGCCUUUGAGAAUGCUAAGCAUAAAACCUAUGUUGAUUUGAAGGUAAGAGGCCUGUUUGUUGUAGACAUAAAAGUAGUUCACUCAAUCGCUAUCUUCCUGACACGAUGUUCUUGUUCCUUUUUCUUAUUUUGAGAAUACCCAGGUCCUAACCCUACUGAUACUGUUAAUUGGGUCUUUUGAAUUUUGUUAGGUAUUGGGUCAAGGAGAAAGAGUAUUUUUGUUCUUAAGCACAUUGAUGUUUAUACUUUUGGUUUUUCUCUUCACUUUUGUUCAUUCCUUUUACUAUUUGCUUAAUUGGUUAUGUGUUAAUUUGGUUGCUAAUAGUUGUAUUUGAUUGCUAAUUGAUUGAGAAGGAAGAGUAUUAAUGAUUCUUUUAUGUUGGGUCAUUGUGUUUCCCUUCAAAAUUUUGUUUAUUACAAAGUUGGGUUUAAGAGGAAAUUCUUGGUGAAUAUUAGUAUAAUUUUGGGUUAUUGUGGAGUAAUUUUGUUGCCUUGGUGAUUAAUUGGGUCUUUUGAAUUUUGUUGGGUGUUGGGUUAAGGAGAAAGAAUAUUUUUGGUCUUAAGAACAUUGAUGUUUAUGUUUUUGGUAUUUCUCUACACUUUUGUUCAUAAUAUCCUAAUGACAUGUGAGCUUGAUUAUUGUCAGCUGAUUUGUGAUUAGGAUAUGAAGUUACUUAGUUUCAUUUGAUUUGGUGGGAAAUGGUGAUUGAAUGUGUUUGCAGUUGCAAUUUCAUAUUCCUUUUGGGAUGAUGAUGUUGAUAAUGAUGACAACUUUGAGCUUAAAAUUUCAAAACUGCCAAAGAAAGAAAGCGAUAGACCGACAAAACAAAAGGUGUUACCGAAGGCAGCAGUGACUUGAUACAACAGGCACAAGCAUGGCGGUGAUGUGAAUGCCACGGACCUUAGCCAGCAGACUGCACUGCAUUGGGAUGCCGUGAGAGGUUCCAUUGCAGUUGCUGACCUGUUGUUGCAGAAUGAAGCUCGUGUUGAGGCUGGAGAUGCUAAUGGGUACAGGGCAUGUUGUUGGCACUAAUUUGGCUUUGGCGUUGUAGCCGUUGAAGCAACUUGGAGGACAUAAUUUUCAGACAAUGACAUCAUCAGCAUUUGCAUCAGCUGAAUUACUAUCUUGUUUCACAAAUUUGGAUCAAAGCAUACUUGAAAAAUCAGAAGAGUAAUUCGAUUGAUAAACAAUAAUCACACCAUUCCCAAUCACAGAAACUAAUAUUAUUGAAUGCUUUCACUAAUUGGUUAAGCAUUCAGGAGAUCUCUUUCCGACCCUUCCUCCAAAGAUCAGCUUGUUGUCGUCUGCUGUUGGACAAAGCUUAUCCUCUUUGAUCACUAAGAAUGCAUUUUUAUCUUUCAUUACAACAAUUGUUUAUUUUUAAAUAUUUUUUGUUUUUUAAAUGGGAUACACUUUUUAAAGUGGUAUAGUCUGAUAUUGAAUAUGUAUAAAAAUAGUUAAUUGUUUCAAAAGAAUGUAUCAUGUAAAUUGUUUCUCUUGCUAAUUAGUGUUUAUCUAUUGUAAAGGGUAGUCGCUUUUA